RNAcentral lists this transfer RNA (74 nucleotides) under Araneus ventricosus. It matches the Rfam family "tRNA". From Rfam's summary of the family: Transfer RNA (tRNA) molecules are approximately 80 nucleotides in length. Their secondary structure includes four short double-helical elements and three loops (D, anti-codon, and T loops). The record is from Rfam by way of RNAcentral. Lineage: Eukaryota; Metazoa; Arthropoda; Arachnida; Araneae; Araneidae.
GCCUCCGUGGCUCAAUCGGCUAGCGCGUUCGGCUGCUAACCGAAAGGUUGGUGGUUCGAGAACACCCGGGGGCG